AGAUGAGGGAUGGCGCCGGCGCAGGCCUGCGCGCCACGCGCUUUAGGUGGAUGAGGGAUGGCGCAGGUGCAGGCCUGCGCGCCUCACGCUUUAUGUACAUGAGGGAUGAGGCAGCACAGGAAUUGGCACAACCUGAAGUCAGCUCUGCAGCUUUCCAAGCUUCGUUCUGCGUGUCCUGUACUCAACAGUCAUCUCAUGCUGCAGGGUGGCUGCGUGUGCUCCGUACAUCACACCCAUAUUUCAGGUAGGGACGGUUCCCGGAGGGUGCUCAGCACCAUGCCGACUACUGCUGGCUGGCACGUUCGCACGUGGCCAUGUCAGCUCCAAGGAGGAUGCUGACAUCCUGCUGGCUGGCACGUUCGCACGUGUCCAUGUUAGCUGCGAGGGCCAUGCCGACAUCCUGCUGGCUGGCACUUCCACAGGUAGCCAUGUUAGCUGAGAGGGCGAUGCCAACAUCUUGCUGGCUGGCACGUUUGCACGCGGCCAUGUUAGCUGCGAGGACAAUGCUUCUGCAACUUUUGGUUUCUUCCCUUUCAUCCUCCCACCCCUGACCGUUUUUGCCUGGGAGCAAGUGCCUAAUAAAUUACCUGCACUCAAAUCUUUGGCUCAGAGACUUUCCGAGAGAACCCAAGCUGAGGCAGACAAUGAAAUCAACACUACCAGCCACUUAGCUGCCAGCUGGGUGGAGAGUGGGCUGCUCUUCCAAGACGCUUUUCAGCCUCUGAAGGCUCAUUUCCAGAAGGUCCUGUCUAUCUGGGCUACUUGCUUCCAGAGCAGUUGCAUCUGGCUGGAUAGCUAAUGAGCGAUAAGGCCUGCAAACCUCAAGCCACAUCUUUAAAGAUGAGGGCCCUGAUGUUCCACAGUGUGCGACGUUACUGGGGUCCAGCCAGUUAUGUUCUGGGAGCUGCCUGAAUGAAAAUCAAUUUGUUAUUUUAGUUGGUUGGCUUGUUUAAAAAAAAAUUAAAUAACAAGAAAUAAGAAAAAACGUGCAAUGGCUUUGAGGUAGAACAGAAAAUCCAGUGAGCCCUCUCUGUGCCUCUGGCAGAAGAAACUGUGAAGAUUUGCAUUUAGAAAAACGCCUCCUCAACUUUGGCGGCACCUGAUGGUUCAUGGUUCCUAAAAUUAGAAAAUGCUAGAGCCUUGGUUCUUUUUUUUUUUUUUUUGACGGAGUCUCACUCUGUCACCAGGCUGGAGUGCAGUGGUGUGAUCUUGGCUCACUGCAACCUCCACCUCCUGGAUUCAAGUGAUUCUCCUGCCUCAGCCUCCCGAGUAGCUGGGACUACAGGCGCCCGCCACCAUGCCUGGCUGAUUUUUGCAUUUUUAGUAGAGAUGGGGUUUCACCAUGUUGGCCAGGAUGGUCUCGAUCUCUUGACCUCGUGAUCCACCCGCCUUGGCCUCCCAAAGUGCUGGGAUUACAGGCGUGAGCCACUGCGGGAGCCUUGCUUCUAUGCGAGUAUUUCGGAGACAAUUAGACAAACAUCCCACAGCCCCAUUUUGAAGCCUGGCAUUGUGUUGGCUGCAGUGAAUUCUGGGGGUGGAGGUGGCUGGAGGGAAAGAGUUGGGAGUCUUGUUUUGUUUUGUGUUUCCUGGAGAGUUUUGGGUUCUGCGGGAUAAUAUGUGCUUGCAGGUGCAGCAGGAGUAGCAUUCUCAUUUCUCACGGCAGUUCAGUCCCUGAGCAGACGGGAGAGGUGAAAUAGAAACACACAUUACAGAAGGGACAUGCUUUCUUAAGGGCACGGGGACCGUGACACAUUGCUUUGAUGAACGGUGAUGGAGUCACACAUGGGGAAAUUCAACAUGGACACACCAGUCUCGCUAUGGAGACAUCUGUGUUGUAUGGGAGCUAAUGGCUUUGAAUGAGCCCAUAUUCAUUUUUCUAGCAGUUUUGAUACUAACAUAAAGAGAGAAUGUGUGUGGACAGAGGAGGCUGUCCUGCACGGACUCUGGGUGUACUUUGUGCCAGUGACAUUUUGUUCCAGAGUGAUUUUGCUUGUUCCAGUUUUUCUGAAAGGAAAGCUUCCCCACAGUUUUGGGGACUGCUGUUUGUCUCAUGCCACAUGUGAGGAUUUGUGGGGUCCACAGUCUGCGACUGUGCUGUCCAGCAUCGAUUCCAUUCACACUGGUUCUUACUUUCAAAGUCUAUUCUGUUACAGGGAGAAGACUGCACAUAUAACACAGCUCUGCAUGGAAAACCUUCCGCCUGGAGGGGUGGCUUCCUAGAGGUGUGGCGUUGCCCUCUGUCUUGAACAGGCUGUGAGCCGUUUUGUCAUUUGGGGUUUCUAGAUGCAAACAGCAGAAGCUGCUGGCCAAUUACCAAAGGGAACGUGCUGUUAGGAUAUCAGGGCCUGGGAGCUGCAGCAAUGUGGGCUGACAGCAGAGAGCUAAGGCACUUUCCGAGGUGACGAGCUGGGCUGCUAUGCUGGAGACGGCUGGGCAGAAGCAGUUAGCAGGGCAUUUCCUUGUGUCCUUAUCUCAAGAGUCACAGUUUCAGGAGUGAGCAUCUCAGAGGUCAGGGUUCAUUCACAUGCCACCUCCCUUCUCACUGUGUCAUUGGGGAGGGGCCGUCUGGACCCUCUGGCUCCUGUGGCAAGAAAUGGUCCCAUCAAGUCAUCCAAGGGCCUGGAAGCCUCCCAAGGAAAGCAGGAGGGCUGGGUGCUGAGCAGCGUCCAGCAGCAAAGGUAGGCUCCAGCCCCGCAGGUGUGGCUGCGCCAUCCCAGGGAACGUGCCCCAGCAAGUGCUGGUGCUGCUCUCACUACAGGUGGGGUUGGUUUCACUGGACAGGUGGCACUUCCUCACCUCUUGCCCUCUGGACCCACGGCAGGCACUUUCCAGGGCACAUCACGUGGGUGUGCGGUCUGGCUGCUGGGUCCACGCGGGUUCUCAAUCAUGACCUGGCUUGCAAGCUCUUUCCACAGUUGGAUAAAUGAAGCCGUUGGGGAAGUAUCCGCAAACUCUUACAGUGAGUAUGUGAUAAUGACACACGCGUGGCCCUUCUAAGACCUCCGCUAGGCAUUAUCAGUGACUGUGCUCGUGAGCGCUGACCUCCGCUAGGCGUUAUCAGGGACUGUGCUCGUGAGCGCCGACCUCCGCUAGGCGUUAUCAGGGACUGUGCUCGUGAGCGCGGACCUCCGCUAGGCGAUAUCAGGGACUGUGCUCAUGAGGGCGGACUUUCACCAGCCACGCUUCCGAGGAGUGGAGUCUUUCUCAGCUCUGCCUCUCCAAGAUGACCAUCUUGUGAAGACGAUGCGUUCUUUAUACACAAGUUCUGUGUGUGUGUGUGUGUGUUCCACACACAGGACCAAAGUUGAGAUAGGCGCACAUUUUCUUGGUCCCACUUGUGGCCCCAGUCGGCUGUCAGAAGUGGGUGUGCUCCACAUGUACCCACCAUGUCAGGGCACAGUGCUCACAUUUCACACCUCAGCAGGUGCCUUGAUGUUGACCAGAGGCCCCAAAAUCAUCUCUUUCUAUGACUUCUAGAUCUUAGAUUCCCAGGAACUGGGAAAUGCAGUCAGUAUCUUUUGGGUCCAAGAAACUUUGUCAGAGCCCUUGUGGGAGAACCAUAGAUUCUCACCAGAUAAACAGAAGAGCUUCGUGUUAGAGAAACCCGCCUGUCUCCCCACAUUCUCAGUUUUCUGGAGAGCAGCUGAAAGCCAUCUGGGUGGAGAUUAAGAGCUCCAACCGUGUAGCUUUGAUGUAUCGGGCAAGUUGCUUAAGCUCUUUAAUGCUGUUUCCUCAUUUAUUGUGUGAGGCCAAAAAUACCCAUUCCUUAAAGUUGUGAGGAUUAAAAACAGUAAUGAAAAGUGAGUGGCAAGUGCCGAGUACACAGUCAAGUACCUGAUACUUUUUAGUGUAAGGUAAGUAGCAAGAAAGCAUGAAAUUUAUUUUCAUUUACUCUUACUACAUGUGGUAAACCAUCUAUGCACAGAGCACUGCAUUGGGUGCCAUGAAUGACAGAAUAAGAGUACCAGGUGCAUGAAAAGCUUAAAAGACAAAUGAGACAGAGCUAGGCUGCAGAAGACUUAAAAAGUUGAUGUAUUUAACUUUUAAUGGACACACUGUACAUGUUUAUGGGGUACGAUUUGUUGUUUCCAUGCAUAUCUGUGUUGUGUAAUGAUCCAAUCAGGGUAGUGUGUGUGCCCAUUUCCUCAAGGGUGGAUCAUUAUGUGUAUCAUCGUGCAUCAUCAUGUAUCAUGCAUGUACCAUCAUCAUGCAUCAUUGUGCAUCAUCAUGCCUGUAUCAUUAUGUAUCACCUCAUGCAUAUAUUAUAAUGUAUCACCUCAUGCGUGUAUUAUCAUGUAUCACCAUGCAUGUAUUGUGCAUGUGCCAUCAUCAUGCAUCAUUGUGCAUCAUCAUGCCUGUAUCAUUAAUCACCUCAUGCAUAUAUUAUAAUGUGUCACCUCAUGCGUGUUUUAUCAUGUAUCACCAUGCAUGUAUUGUGCAUGUACCAUCAUCAUGCAUCAUUGUGCAUCAUCAUGUCUGUAUCAUUAAUCACCUCAUGCAUAUAUUAUAAUGUGUCACCUCAUGCGUGUAUUAUCAUGUAUCACCAUGCAUGUAUUGUGCAUGUACCAUCAUCAUGCAUCAUUAGGCAUCAUUGUGCAUGUAUCAUCACCUCAUGCAUGUAUUAUGUAUCACCUCAUGCAUGUAUCAUGCAUGUACCAUCAUCAUGUAUCAUUAUGCAUCAUUGUGCAUGUAUCACUGUGUAUCAUGCAUGUGUCAUCAUGCAUCGCCCCAUGCGUGUAUCAUUUCUUUGUGGUGAGAACACUCAGAAGCCUCUCAUCUCGCUAUCUUGUCAUAUAUGCUAUUUUAUUGUUAACCAAAGUCAGCCUAUUGUGCAGUAGAACAAUCUCUCCUCAUCCCCUGUCCUCAUCCUCCCCUCCCAAGCUUCCAUAACCACUGUUUACUCUCUGCUCCUAGGAGAUCAACUUAAAAUUUUGUGUUAUUUUUGGAUUUCACAUACAAGAAAUCCAUACAAGAGCUCCAUAUGAGAUCGCUCAGUACCUGUUUCUCUGUACCUGGCUUAUUUCGCUUAACAUGAUGUCCAAGCUCAUCCAUAUUGUCACAGAUGCUGGGAUAUCAUUUUUUUCAUGGGAGAAUGGUAUUCCAUUGUGUAUCUACACCACAUUUUCUUUAUUCAUUCUCCGUUGUUGGGCACCAAGGGCGAUUCCAUACCUUGGUGAUUAUGAACAGUGCUGCGAUAAGUGUGGGGGUGCCGAUGUCUCCUCAACCCAUGGAUUUCCUGUCACCUGGGUCUUUACCCAGCAAUGGGUUGCUGAGUCCCAUGGUAGUUCUAUUUGUGUUUUUUUGAGGAACCUCUCUGCUGUUUUCCUGAGUGGCUGUAGAGAGCUAUAGAACUUUAGGUCUGUGAGAGAUAAGUCCUCCAGUACACAUGCCAUUUUCAGAAGGGCAAACUGUAGCCCAGGAAGGUCAGGUGCCUUGACCAAGGCAGGCACAGUGAGAAAGAGGCAGUGUUAGGACCGCAACUGAUUUUCCUCUCCAGUCUCUUUUGUGAAGAUUGGAUGCUAAGGUCAUAUAGGAAGCACUAUGGAAUAUGUAGGAGGUGCUCAGUCUGUUUUGUGAAGAUUGUAUGCCAAGGUCAUAUGGGAAGCACUAUGCAUUAUGUAGUAGGUGCUGUGUGCCAUACAUUAAGAUUACAUUGUAAAUAGCAGGCACUAUGUAUUGUAUAUUAGCAUGAUGCACUGGGUCCUGUUGUCUGGGAGCCUGGCACCUGGCAGCUUCAAAGAACUUACAAGGUCCACAGGAAGGAACCUGGGACAGCCCAGGGAGCAUCACUGAAAGAAUUGGCCUGGAACAGAAGCCCCACAGCUCACCUGGGGGGAGCAGGGGGAGGAUAGGGGUGAGGAGGGAGAGGACCAGGGGAGCAGCGGGAGGACCAGGGGUGCAGGACGAGCACUGGGGGUGCACGGGAGAGCAGGGUGCAAGGACCUUGCUGGCUGAGAAGACAGCGGGAAUGGCGGGUCCUGGGAGAGGGGAGGAGGGGAGGCAGGCCACCAGCCACCCUGACUUCAGCCAGGAGACCCAUUUCAGAGGCUCAAAGGGUGGAGAUGGUGCAGCCAUAGUGGGAAGCUGAGCCCCAUGCUGGAUGCUCAGAUUGAGGGGGCUCCUGAGGGGCUGCGUUCCUCUCUCCAGGGGCCGUGGGACGGUGGCUGCUCAUCUCACAGGUAUUUAUUGGGUUUUUCACCACCUGCCAGGACUUUGCUGCCCACGUCACACAUUUCAUGUAACCUGUAGGUGUAGAGGCCUCAUUUUCAGACAAAGAUGAACUAAGAAAGUGUCUUCUCGGAGGUCACGGCUGGAGCCAGAUGGUCAGGCUCAGGCUGGGGCUGGCUUCCCUCGAUGUGAUGCACGGCUCCCAUGUCACGUUUCCCUGACUAUCAGGAGCUCCCAGAGGCCAAGGAUGGGGUGGCCGCCUGGACAAUUCAGACCUAAGGAAGGGCUCCUGGCCUCUUCCCUGAGAGCCUCUAAGCUGACUGCUCUCUUCCUGCUCAGCAGCUCAUGAUCCCCGGUGGCUUCCUUGAGCUGGGACUUGACUGAAACCCCUGGGACUGGCCCUCCAGCCACCCUGACUUCAGGGGGUCGAGGUGCUCACUGGGCCAGUGCUCAGGAGGCUCCGUGCCAGCUGGAACACCGGGAAACCCUCUAUCUGAAUCUUUGACCCAGGGAGGAGCCUGGAGAGGUGACGUCCCGGCAGGCCUCUCCCGCAAAACCCAGAAUCAGAAGUGGCCACACCAGGUCCGGCACCCACGGCAGCAGCAGGAGCCAUUUCUGGGACAACUUUGGGGAUAUACUUGUCCUUCCAAGUGAAAGGAGCUUAAAAAGACCCCUGAGCAGGAGAGAAAAAGUAUCUUCAAAGAGAACUCCCUUCAUCUUGAAGAAAGUGUCUGCGCUAGCCUCUUGGCCAUUGCGCCGCAGUAGAAUCUUAGGCUCCGUCACUCCUGUGACUUAAUUCAAUUGGCAUCGGUAUUUUGAAAAUAAUGAUUUUUCCUAAUUGUAAAUGUGAAAUGUAUUAUAGAAACGUCGUCCACAAGCCUCUCACUCAGAGAGAGACACCGAUAACUGUUUCUUUCCAUGGAGUACAUUCCACCGUCCCGUUUUCCCACCACACCGCGUGGCCUGACGCUUUCCUCUGUCAUGAACGGCUCUGAUACAACGUGAGAUGAAAUUCCAUCUCAGACAUGCACUGUGAUCACUCACCCCUCACUCCUCAAUGCCUGUGUGUCAUUGAGCACCUCACCUGUGCUAUAUAUUUCUCUUUAGGGUCACAAAAGAAUUGCUCUGUAAUCUCUGUGGGCAAGGAGAUUUCUCCCGAGUUUGAUUGGUUUUUCUGUUUUCUUAGGAUAGAAAUUUUUCUAGCAGUCAUUGGUCUAUUGAAAACACAAAUAAGCUUCACUUCAUACACUAGAAAACUUCAUAAUAUAAGGUUUAUAUUUGCCAUGAGAGGAAACAAAAUGUUGUCUUAAAUGCAUUCACGUACCCUAAGAAAAAUGGUAUGAAACGGUCAAGGAAAAGUUCCUUCUGAUAGUAAAAAAUUCACCCCCUUAUUAAACCAACAAUGAAGUUGCACUAGAUUAGAGUUUAGUUCCGAAACUCUGUGCUUUUAGAUAUUUGGUCCGUUAGGAUUUCCUGGUGGGGGGCACACGCGCGUAAGUCUCUUGAUGGUGGGGCUCUGGUUCUCUGGCCGAGACCACAGAUGUGUCUCCAGGCAGGUACUUCCUCUGCAAGUGUCUGAUGACCACAGUGAGGUGGGUGUGUUGAUAAUAAUCUACUGUCAUAGACACCUUACCUUAUUAAUACUGCUAAACCAGGAAGGGCACAAUUGAUAUUCUCAGGUUUUUUAAUCCUUUAAGAAGAAAAGAUAAUUAAAAAAAUCUUUUCACUCAAGAAGCAUACGAUAGAAUAUGGUGAUACAGACAAAGGGUAGGCCCACUGAUUCGAAAAUUACAGAUUGAAUCCCUGAGACAAAUAUCUCCCCUGCUUUCAGGUAGAUUACUGUCUACAGGUGGGAUAACCAUGUAUAAAAUUAUGUCAAAUUGUGUUGUGGUAUGUUUUGAUUCCUUUGAAAUAAGGGCUUCUCCUUUAUCCACACCACUAUC
This 8111-nucleotide long non-coding RNA is filed under the name Homo sapiens (human). RNAcentral describes it as "HSALNT0355587". The record is from RNAcentral. Lineage: Eukaryota; Metazoa; Chordata; Mammalia; Primates; Hominidae.